This 250-nucleotide long non-coding RNA is filed under the name Fukomys damarensis (Damara mole-rat). Its description in RNAcentral is "lncRNA (ENSFDAG00000026233.1)". The record is from RNAcentral. Lineage: Eukaryota; Metazoa; Chordata; Mammalia; Rodentia; Bathyergidae.
CUCAUUCCUAUGGUUUGAUUCUUUUUCUUCAAAAUCCCAGAUCAGCCAGAAUUGGGGAUUAGAAUCAUAGCUGUGAAACUACAGGUGGCAUCUCAUGCAUUCAAAAAGGUUUGGGACACUGCUGGACAGUGCUCUGCGUCGCCGGCUCGCGACAAGAGGUAAGAAAAGGAAUUAAUAUAUUUUUUCUGCAUGUAUCAACUUCACGUAAGGAAUGCAAAUAUAUAGUGCAAACAUGUACUAAUAAGAAAGG